AACUUUCUGAAACCAUGCAGAGAUUUCGUCAGACACCAACCCAUUUAAGCUGAUCAGACUUCCAAGAUAAGUAAAGUU
This 78-nucleotide microRNA precursor is filed under the name Schistosoma mattheei. Its description in RNAcentral is "mir-3492 microRNA precursor family". It matches the Rfam family "mir-3492 microRNA precursor family". Lineage: Eukaryota; Metazoa; Platyhelminthes; Trematoda; Strigeidida; Schistosomatidae. The record is from Rfam by way of RNAcentral.